RNAcentral lists this long non-coding RNA (593 nucleotides) under Oryza brachyantha (malo sina). Its description in RNAcentral is "long non-coding RNA (OBRA_LNC000768)". Lineage: Eukaryota; Viridiplantae; Streptophyta; Magnoliopsida; Poales; Poaceae. The record is from RNAcentral.
AAACCAAUCAUAGACAGACUUAGUUCAUCUUGAUUAGUUAUUUAGACUAAAUUGCCGCACAAGAAUAGGAAACACCAAAAGUGCAGAACUAUUUUUCUUUUCGUUGUUUGAUUAGAGAUUUAUUUUUCUUUUACAUUAUAGAUUUGUUGCCUCUGGUCUCAGGCUUCUGAAUGGAUUGGAAAAUAUGAGGCCACCUAAAUGUAUAUCUUUUUGUGCACCGAGAAGUUUAUUUUGGCUUUGUUCUAAAAUAAAACUUGGAAGUACUAAUUAACAGGAACCCGGUCAUACCUUGAAGAGGAAACCCAGUCACAGACAUACUUACUUCAUCUUGAUUAGUUGUUUGGACUAAAUUGCCGCACAAGAAUAGAAAACACCAGAAGUGCAUAAUUAUUUUUCUUUUCGUUGUUUGAUGAGAGCUUUAUUUUUCUUUUACAUUACAGGUUUGUUGCCUCUGGUCUCAGGCUUUCGAAUGGAUUGUAACAUACGAGGUCACUAGAUUACCCUAAUAUGUUUGAUGCCUGAGGAGCUCUGUUAGGUCUCUUGAUUUUUUUCCUCUGCCCCCCAGUCUUUCCUUGCUCUUUUGCUCUGCAAAU